RNAcentral lists this ribosomal RNA (460 nucleotides) under uncultured bacterium. RNAcentral describes it as "partial 16S ribosomal RNA". It matches the Rfam family "Bacterial small subunit ribosomal RNA", at positions 338 to 795 of the family's 1533-position model. The record is from RNAcentral.
CCUACGGGUGGCAGCAGUGAGGAAUAUUGGUCAAUGGACGAGAGUCUGAACCAGCCAAGUAGCGUGAAGGAUGACUGCCCUAUGGGUUGUAAACUUCUUUUAUAUGGGAAUAAAACGUUCCACGUGUGGGAUUUUGUAUGUACCAUAUGAAUAAGGAUCGGCUAACUCCGUGCCAGCAGCCGCGGUAAUACGGAGGAUCCGAGCGUUAUCCGGAUUUAUUGGGUUUAAAGGGAGCGUCGGUGGAGUGUUAAGUCAGUUGUGAAAGUUUGCGGCUCAACCGUAAAAUUGCAGUUGAAACUGGCAGUCUUGAGUACAGUAGAGGUGGGCGGAAUUCGUGGUGUAGCGGUGAAAUGCUUAGAUAUCACGAAGAACUCCGAUUGCGAAGGCAGUUCACUGGACUGCAACUGACACUGAGGCUCGAAAGUGUGGGUAUCAAACAGGAUUAGAUACCCUUGUAGUC